RNAcentral lists this ribosomal RNA (253 nucleotides) under uncultured bacterium. Its description in RNAcentral is "partial 16S ribosomal RNA". It matches the Rfam family "Bacterial small subunit ribosomal RNA", at positions 524 to 776 of the family's 1533-position model. The record is from RNAcentral.
UACGGAGGGGGCCAGCGUUGUUCGGAAUUAUUGGGCGUAAAGAGCUCGUAGGCGGCUUGUUGCGUCGGCUGUGAAAACCCAUGGCUCAACCGUGGGCUUGCAGCCGAUACGGGCAGGCUAGAGUUCGGUAGGGGAGACUGGAAUUCCUGGUGUAGCGGUGAAAUGCGCAGAUAUCAGGAGGAACACCGGUGGUGUAGACGGCUUUCUGGACCGUAACUGACGCUGAGACACGAAAGCGUGGGUAGCAAACAGG